This is a non-coding RNA of Danio rerio (zebrafish), 197 nucleotides long. NCBI's taxonomy places the organism in Eukaryota, Metazoa, Chordata, Actinopteri, Cypriniformes, Danionidae. The record is from RefSeq and is a predicted model, not a curated record.
UGGACACAAGCCCUCGGGAUAUUGUGGGAAUCCGUCACACACAUGUUGAAACGUAACUGGUGGUAUUUUCUUAGUUUUCCUCUCGCCGUGUUCUCACCUCCACGUGGAAACAUAGAUUUUUAAUGAAGAUGUCAAUGUGAGGCGAGAUUGUGUGAUGAGCUGUCUGAGCAUCUACCUCAAUGAAGACCUGGACACAC